CGCGGGGUGGAGCAGUUCGGACAACUCGGGGCGUUCAUGCCGCCUAGGUCGCCGGUUCAACUCCGGCUCCCGCAGCCA
This 78-nucleotide transfer RNA is filed under the name Bradyrhizobium oligotrophicum. Its description in RNAcentral is "tRNA-Met". It matches the Rfam family "tRNA". From Rfam's summary of the family: Transfer RNA (tRNA) molecules are approximately 80 nucleotides in length. Their secondary structure includes four short double-helical elements and three loops (D, anti-codon, and T loops). Lineage: Bacteria; Pseudomonadati; Pseudomonadota; Alphaproteobacteria; Hyphomicrobiales; Nitrobacteraceae. The record is from RNAcentral. RNAcentral also lists the same sequence under 1 other name.